Long non-coding RNA from Rhinolophus ferrumequinum (greater horseshoe bat), 1447 nucleotides. RefSeq lists it as uncharacterized. NCBI's taxonomy places the organism in Eukaryota, Metazoa, Chordata, Mammalia, Chiroptera, Rhinolophidae. The transcript has 3 exons. The record is from RefSeq and is a predicted model, not a curated record.
CAUAUUUCAUGGAAAAUAGUUCUUAGCCAGUAUUUAUCAGAAAGUGCUGGGAGCAUUUUAAAAUGUUCACAGGUCUAGCUUAAUCCUUGACCUACUAAACCUACAUCUCUGAGGAUGGGGACUAUAUACGACUAUGUAUUGUGUAACAGCUUCUCAAAUGACUGAUAAACACUCCUGCAACAGAAUAAUCAUUUAAAUAGAGCAGGCAUUCCCUUAGCAUCUUAAUUGUAGUUCAGAUCUUAAUAAUGAGUACUCAUGAUCCCAAAGUUUGUUUUAUUAAAAUUUUUAUUGUACUCAAUACUGUUUGAAAUUUGGGGUUAGAAUGUGUAAGUUGACAUGUUGGCCAUGCUGCCUAUUAGACAAUUUGAUUUUUGAUUUUAAGUUGGUAAGAAUUGUUCUCAAUGUAAAAGAAAUAUUUGUUUCACUAAAUAGUAUGUUGAAAACUUUUUGCCAUGAAUGAAUAGUAAGUCUUUUGUUUGAUAAUGAGCACAAAACAAACUGCUUGAUAUCAUGGGAACAAGAUUUGAUAUUUUAGAUCACCUCCUUUAUUUAGUGUUGGAGAUACAAAGAUGCAUUGAUUUGGCCCCUUUCCUGGUUCAGAUAGAUUCACAUAUAAUCAAAUGUAUUGUGGUAAAUUUAUAGUAGUGGAGAUACAAAGUGCUCUGCGAACUUAGAAUUUUUCGUGGAGAAGUUUUGGGGACAGGAAACAGCAUUAACAAAGGUACUGUGUUUUGUUGUGGGUGACGGGAAUUUGUGAGAUGGAGUGGCAGAGUUGUGGAGGAGGGGCUGUCAUUUGUAAAGCAGUACAGAUUUUAAUCUUUACCAGUGCCUCCUAAUCUUUUGAGGAGGAUCAUAGAUUUUAGAAAAAUGCACCUUAAAUUCAAGUUCAGGGUUUUCAAACUCCCUGUGGUUCUGAGCUUAGGUUUGAGCCUUGGAAACAGCCACACAUAAGGAACUGUUGGAGGAAGGAGUCAUUAAGGAGAUUCAUACAGAAACUAUAGAAGCUUCAAGAUGGUAAUGAACACCAAAUGCAGCAGUAGAGAGGUGCUGCCGUGAAGUACGUGAUAUGUUUCCUUGUGAACAUGUGUGUUUCUCUAAGGAGCAGACUAUUGGGAGGAAAAGCUUAAGGACAGAUGAUGUCUCAAAUGAAAAGCUCCUAGGUGGCUGCUUCCUCUACUUUCAGCACCUGCAUUAUGUCAUUGAUUGGAAAUACUGAGAGAAAAAAAAACACAAGGAAGUAAAGGCUAAAGACAAUCUCCUAGGCUCCUUUACGAGUGGAAUUCCGGCUCUCAUCUGGGCUCACUAAGCGUGUGUGGCGCUCUGCGGAAGUGGCAGUGCUUCUGGGGAAACACCAGAUGACUACUGGUCCACGUGAGCCUCAGCUUCCAUCAAUGACCAGAGAAGAAACUGCAGAAAAGAAUUUGGGCAAAACCAAAACGAGCAUUUG